This 376-nucleotide long non-coding RNA is filed under the name Homo sapiens (human). RNAcentral's name for it is "long intergenic non-protein coding RNA 354". The record is from RNAcentral. Lineage: Eukaryota; Metazoa; Chordata; Mammalia; Primates; Hominidae.
UCAGGUGGACAUGGACUCCAUGGAAGCCUGAGCUGCCAGGGGCUUCCCUGGGGCAGCACUGCUUCGCGUAGGCUCACGAGAAACUUCCAGGGUUCCUGGGAAAUGAAUGAAAAUAAACAAACAAAUUCCUUGCAUUCAACGCAGCGUAAGAAAAAUCACAUCCUGUUCCCCAGUAGCUGAGGAAAGCCGGCUCACGAGAGUAUACAGGGAGAAGAGGCCAGCAUUGUGUGGCUGCCAGCAAAGCUCACUUGUAUGUCAAAUGCAGCGCUUUUCUUAGCCCAUUAUGUAUUUUUUUUUUCUUGAACACUCCUGUGUCUACUGGGAUCUCCUGUUUUUAUUGUUUUGGGAUGAGAUUUUAAAAACACCAUUUAAUGUA